GAUUUUAUACUAAUUUUUAGUUAUUAAAUUUUUUUAAAAUUAGUAUAGGGAGUAAUACGCUUUCGUUUUUAGGGUUAUCUAGCUUGAGUUUUUAUUUAAAGGGAAACCCUUUAUUUGAUAUAAUAUUUUCUUAUAUUGGUUUUUAUUUCUUUAAUAGUAAGAAAUUGUGUAAUAACUUAAUUUUAUUUUUUAUAAAGUUUUACUUGUUUUUGUAUUAUAAGUAAAUUAAUAAAUUAGUAGGAUUUUUUUUUGGAUUUUGGAUUUUUUUGGAUUUUUUUGUUAUAAAUUAUUUUAGUUUGCUGAUUUUUUUUUAGACUGGUUAAUAAAAUCUUAGCUAAAAGAUUUUUAGUCACCCCUGCUCUAUGCUCUUUGUAAAUGGCUGUUUAUUAACACUAAGGUAGCAAAAUCAUUAGUUAUUUAAUUAGUAACUUGUAUGAAUGGGGCUUCUAAGAAUAUAUUAUUUUUGUUUUUGAAUUUAUAUAUUUGUUGAAAAUAACAAUAUAUACCUUAAGACUAAAAGACCCUAAAAUUUUUAUAAUUUUAAAAUUAUUUGGUUGGGGUAAUAAAAUAUUUUUAAAUAUAUUUAUCUUUUUAUUUCUAUGAACUUUUAUAUAAAGAUAAAUUGUAAAAUACUUUAGGGAUAACAGCUUAAUUAUUUUUAAGAGAUCUUAUUAAUAAAAUAGUUUUAGACCUCGAUGUUGGAUUGAGAAGACUUUUUGGGGUAG
This 725-nucleotide ribosomal RNA is filed under the name Anhemialges gaudi. Its description in RNAcentral is "partial large subunit ribosomal RNA". Lineage: Eukaryota; Metazoa; Arthropoda; Arachnida; Sarcoptiformes; Analgidae. The record is from RNAcentral.